AAGCUUUUAGCUGGAUGAAGGAUAAAAAUCCUCGAUGCGCUCUCAGAUUCAAUCACUCCUGUGUUUGUUUAACGAGAUCUAAGUUUAAGAAAAAAAAGGGGGGAAAAAGGCUGAUAUGGCUUUUGGGUUUAGACGUGCCACUUUGCUGCCUGGGAUUUCAGUCAUUACCACAGACCGGGAGAGCAGCUUUAUUACCUGCACGUUUGCAAUGGUUGGUUCAGAAGGAGAAGAAGUGACAAAGCAGCAAAUUACAGCUUUUAAAUCGAGAACGGUCCGAAAAGGAGAAAAUAUCCAGUGAGCUGCAGUUCUCGGAAACGCCUCGUUGAUCACAAGAAGCGUCACAACUGGUUCCUGAAGACGACAGCGAGCUGUCUGUACUCAAACGGGCUCCAGUGUCCAGAUGUCAAUCCAAUAGACCACCUUUGGGAUGUGGUGGAACUGGAGAUUGACAUCGUGGAUGUGCAACAACUGUGUGAUGAUGUCAUUUCAAUAUGGACAAAAAUCACUGAGGAAUGUUUCUAGUACUUUGUUGGAUUUAUGCCACAAAGAAUUCAGGAAGUUCUGGUGCUCUGCUUUGAAUGUAAUUUUUAUUAGUCCAAAUGUUUCCCAGCUGCCAUGUACGCUUUACUUAUGUUUCAAAGUGGCUCAAAAAUCUUCAGCUGUCACAACUGGAUAGAAAAUGUUUUGACAGUUUUGAGAUGUGUCGGUUUCAGAUGACUGACGACUGCCACACUAGAAAAACAGUGGUGAAGAGUGGUGCAGUUUCCUUAUCAAAAAUCCUGAUGAUUAAACAUACUUGGAGGGCAUAUCUGGAGAGAAUAUAUGCAGGUCACAGGUUAAGUGUAAGAGAAAUGAUUUCUUUAAUUGCUCUAUGAUUGGAAAAAUUACAGAAAGAAGUGCAAAGAACAUAAAACAUUCACAACAGGAAGCGAAACCCCAGAAAACAAGCGGGUCACUUGUAGAUGGGUUUGAGGCUGGAUUUUAUUUAGUCCACUUUUAAAAUGUACAUUUCUCUUGAGAUUCAUUAAAAAAGAUAAAGCAUCAUCAGCUUUGCAGUCCAUUUCACAAAGAGACUGCAAUAAAGGAAAGAGUGAAGUAGAAGGAAGAUGACUUAGUAGGCACAUCUUUCAAACGAUACAUGUUAAAUCUAAUUGAUGGCAA
This is a long non-coding RNA of Oreochromis aureus, 1161 nucleotides long. RefSeq lists it as uncharacterized. The record is from RefSeq and is a predicted model, not a curated record. The transcript is spliced from 2 exons. Lineage: Eukaryota; Metazoa; Chordata; Actinopteri; Cichliformes; Cichlidae.